AUGGCAUCUCGUUUUCCAGCAUUUGCAUUGGUUAAAUGGAUAGGCGAUCCAGAGCCCGAGUGUUGGAAGGUGAUAUAUACGAAAAAUAUAUGUACCGAGGAUAUACCGGAGGGAGUAAUCGAGGGUUCAACCUACAAUGCUGUGUGGGAUCCCAAGCAAGAAAUGGCCCGCGCCAAAGUUUUAAAACUUCAUGAUAGUAAAGCUUUCUUGAAUAGUAUAAGGAAGCACGAGUGCAUAGACCCGUUUGAAGAACAACGGAAGGCGACUUUAGAUGGUGGGAAGCGACGCCCAAAACCAAAAACUUUGGGAGGCGAUUUUGUUGCUGAAGAUAUUGAAAUAGAUGUGGACCGAGAAACGGCAACAACCCGAGAAACGGCAACAAUCGGAGGCAAGAAUGUCAAUGAGGAAGAGAAGAAAAAAAACAAAAAAAGGACCAGUGACAAAGCUUCUUCGGGACAUCUCGAUUGUUGCUAUCAACGAGAGAUCAACACAAAGAGCGGGGUGCGAGCUGAAUCAGUCAGAACAAAUAGUCCAGUUAGUUGAAUUAGUUGCGGGCAGUGGUGUCUAAUUCCUUUCGAGGACAGCACUUGCAUUGUGCAAAACCGCACACACCAAGUCCUCGCUGGCUACACGCCUUUUAAAGGCGUUUUUUUCAGAAGAAGAAAGGCGCGAGGGAAAAAUCUCUGAGCAGGGGGAGGUGGGAAAUUUGCUUAACCAGCAAAUUAUAACCACUAUUAAAGCAUAUGCGUCGAGGCAGAACCUCCCAGACAGGUGUAAAAAAGGGCAUCACAAGUGCCAUGAACCUAAGUAUAAAAAACUUGAGGAGAGCAGCACGGAAGUCAGCUUGUGAAGAUGAUCUGCCAAGUCUGCCUAGUCUUCCUGAUGAUGAUGAUGAUGACUACGAUGCAGAUGAGUCUUUGCUUGAUUGAAAACUUUGGCAUAGUUUUCACCAUUUUUUAAAAUUUAUAUUUGAUAAUAAACAAUUCGAACUAGUAAUCAAAAAAGUCAUUUCUUGUGAAUCGAGAUUAUGUGCCGAUCUAGGAAUCAAUUAAACAUUUCCAGUGAUUUCCAGGUUAGUAACUUUACCUUUGCAGCUUAGCAGUUCCAGGUAAUCUUAUUGAUCUUUAAGGAACAAUUUAGUUUUACUUUGCGCAUAAAGUGUGUUAUACAACGUUCUUUGGGUUUAAAUUUUGCGUGUGACAUGUAGAGGCAUAGAUACCAUUUUGCAGGGGCGUUUUAUUGAUAUGCUUACAAACAAGGAAAGACUAGCUGCUUGGCUCAGUCGCUUAUUCCAAGUUAGCCCUAUAGCUAUGGGACACAUUUAGAUAAUGUAUUGUACGUAAAACUGGCACGAUGCCAUUUUAAGGUAGCCUUGAGCUAUGUUUGUGGCAUGUCCAAGGUACAUUUUAGGUAUGUAAUGGGUAUGUAAAUUUCCAUUUAACGGUAUCAUUUGUGAAGGUACAUUUUGGGUAUGUAAUGGCUAUGUAAAUUCUAUACCAUGCCCUUUUAAGGUAGCCUUGAGCUAUGUUUGUGGCAUGUACAAGGUAUAUUUUAGCUAUGUAAUGGGUAUAAUAAUUUCCAUUAAACGGUAGCAUUUGUGGUA
This is an RNA transcript of Nematostella vectensis (starlet sea anemone), 1603 nucleotides long. RefSeq lists it as uncharacterized. The transcript has 8 exons. Lineage: Eukaryota; Metazoa; Cnidaria; Anthozoa; Actiniaria; Edwardsiidae. The record is from RefSeq and is a predicted model, not a curated record.